UCCCAAAUGGUCUAGUGGUUAGGAUGCCGCCCUCUCACGGCGGCGGCCUGGGUUCGAUCCUGCUUGGGAA
RNAcentral lists this transfer RNA (70 nucleotides) under Dreissena polymorpha. It matches the Rfam family "tRNA". Rfam says of the family: Transfer RNA (tRNA) molecules are approximately 80 nucleotides in length. Their secondary structure includes four short double-helical elements and three loops (D, anti-codon, and T loops). The record is from Rfam by way of RNAcentral. Lineage: Eukaryota; Metazoa; Mollusca; Bivalvia; Myida; Dreissenidae.